GAUGAACGCUGGCGGCGUGCCUAAUACAUGCAAGUCGAGCGAGGCGACGCGGAGCUUGCUCCUCUGACGCUACCGACGGACGGGUGACUAACACGUAGCUAACCUACCUAUAUGACUUGACUAACUUCGGGAAACCGUAGCUACUACCGCAUAAUCUAUGGAACCGCAUGGUUGAAUAAUGAUAUACGGUUUUGCUUUCACUUAUAGAUGGAUCCGCGCUGCAUUAGCUAGUUGGUAAGCUAACGGGCUACCAAGGCGCCGAUUCGUAGCCGACCUGGCCGGGUGAUCGGCCACCCGAGAGCGGAGACGCGGACACGACGCCUACGGGAGGCAGCAGUAGGGAAUCUUCCGCAAUGGGCGAAAGCCUGACGGAGCAACGCCGCGUGAGUGAUGAAGGUCUUCGGAUCGUAAAACUCUGUUAUGAGGGAAGAACAAAUGUGUAAGUAACUAUGCACGUCGUGACGGUACCUAAUCAGAAAGCCACGGCUAACUACGUG
RNAcentral lists this ribosomal RNA (497 nucleotides) under uncultured bacterium. Its description in RNAcentral is "partial 16S ribosomal RNA". It matches the Rfam family "Bacterial small subunit ribosomal RNA", at positions 28 to 507 of the family's 1533-position model. The record is from RNAcentral.